UGAUAGAUGUAAAUAAAAACGAAAACAAGAGGGAGAAGUAGUAAAAGUGCGCGUAAUUGGAUUAGCGAAUAUUAGUGAACUAAUUAGUAGAAGCAAGUGAGUUUUGAGGUGUUUUGGAACGAGUUCGAUCAGACCAGCAUACAAGUUAGGAGGGAGUCGAGAUUCCAAAAUCGCAUGAAAGACGACACGAGAGACAGUUCACAGACAACGAGACAUUUAACGGACAGGUAAAACGAGCAAGUUACAAUAACAUUAAAUGUAUGAUGUAAUUAAUUUGUGACAGAUAACAGACGUACAUUAAGAACGGACACUUAAGUUGUGCUGUUUGGAAAUACUGCCGGAGAAGUCGAGAUAGUGCAAAGCACACAACGAGCUUGGAGGAGGAAAGUCAAGGGAAGGAAGCAAACUAAAAUUGUAAGUGGGAUAUUUUACAUGUAACUCGCUAAAUG
RNAcentral lists this long non-coding RNA (449 nucleotides) under Aedes aegypti (yellow fever mosquito). RNAcentral describes it as "lncRNA AAEL025529". Lineage: Eukaryota; Metazoa; Arthropoda; Insecta; Diptera; Culicidae. The record is from RNAcentral.